RNAcentral lists this ribosomal RNA (270 nucleotides) under uncultured prokaryote. Its description in RNAcentral is "partial 16S ribosomal RNA". It matches the Rfam family "Bacterial small subunit ribosomal RNA", at positions 524 to 794 of the family's 1533-position model. The record is from RNAcentral.
UACGGAGGGUGCAAGCGUUGUUCGGAAUUAUUGGGCGUAAAGGGCGCGUAGGCGGUUGUGAUAGUCAGAUGUGAAAUCCUCCGGCUUAACUGGAGAACUGCAUCUGAAACUUCAUAGCUAGAGUACAGGAGAGGGAAACGGAAUUCCCGGUGUAGAGGUGGAAUUCGUAGAUAUCGGGAGGAACACCAGUGGCGAAGGCGGUUUCCUGGCCUGAUACUGACGCUGAGGCGAGAAAGCGUGGGGAGCGAACAGGAUUAGAUACCCUGGAGU